GCGGAAGUGGCGGAACUGGCAGACGCGUACGCUUCAGGAGCGUAUGGGCGAAAGUCCUUGGGGGUUCGACUCCCCCCUUCCGCACCA
RNAcentral lists this transfer RNA (87 nucleotides) under Candidatus Omnitrophota bacterium. Its description in RNAcentral is "Candidatus Omnitrophica bacterium tRNA-Leu". It matches the Rfam family "tRNA". Rfam says of the family: Transfer RNA (tRNA) molecules are approximately 80 nucleotides in length. Their secondary structure includes four short double-helical elements and three loops (D, anti-codon, and T loops). Further hydrogen bonds mediate the characteristic L-shaped molecular structure. tRNAs have two regions of fundamental functional importance: the anti-codon, which is responsible for specific mRNA codon recognition, and the 3' end, to which the tRNAs corresponding amino acid is attached (by aminoacyl-tRNA synthetases). tRNAs cope with the degeneracy of the genetic code in two manners: having more than one tRNA (with a specific anti-codon) for a particular amino acid; and 'wobble' base-pairing, i.e. permitting non-standard base-pairing at the 3rd anti-codon position. Lineage: Bacteria; Pseudomonadati; Candidatus Omnitrophota. The record is from RNAcentral.